Molecule: ribosomal RNA, 1394 nt
Filed under: uncultured bacterium
Lineage: Bacteria
Description: partial 16S ribosomal RNA
Rfam family: Bacterial small subunit ribosomal RNA
Source: RNAcentral
AGAGUUUGAUCCUGGCUCAGGAUGAACGCUGGCGGCGUGCCUAACACAUGCAAGUCGAACGGAGCCUUAACCAAAGAAGCAGCCAGCUUGCUGGAAGCGGAAAAGGGAAAGGCUUAGUGGCGGACGGGUGAGUAACGCGUGGGUAACCUGGCCCAUACAGGGGGAUAACACUUAGAAAUAGGUGCUAAUACCGCAUAACAACAGAAAGCGCAUGCUUUUUGUUUGAAAACCAAGGUGGUAUGGGAUGGACCCGCGUCUGAUUAGCUGGUUGGCGGGGUAAAGGCCCACCAAGGCGACGAUCAGUAGCCGGCCUGAGAGGGUGGACGGCCACAUUGGGACUGAGACACGGCCCAAACUCCUACGGGAGGCAGCAGUAGGGAAUAUUGCACAAUGGGGGAAACCCUGAUGCAGCGACGCCGCGUGAGUGAAGAAGUAAUUCGUUAUGUAAAGCUCUAUCAGCAGGGAAGAAAAUGACGGUACCUGAGUAAGAAGCCCCGGCUAACUACGUGCCAGCAGCCGCGGUAAUACGUAGGGGGCAAGCGUUAUCCGGAUUUACUGGGUGUAAAGGGAGCGUAGACGGCAGUGCAAGUCUGGAGUGAAAGGCGGGGGCUCAACCCCCGGACUGCUCUGGAAACUGUACGGCUGGAGUGCAGGAGAGGUAAGUGGAAUUCCUAGUGUAGCGGUGAAAUGCGUAGAUAUUAGGAGGAACACCAGUGGCGAAGGCGGCUUACUGGACUGUAACUGACGUUGAGGCUCGAAAGCGUGGGGAGCAAACAGGAUUAGAUACCCUAGUAGUCCACGCCGUAAACGAUGAGGACCAAGUGUUGGGGGUGAAACCUCAGUGCUGAAGUUAACGCAGUGAGUCCUCCGCCUGGGGAGUAUGCACGCAAGUGUGAAACUCAAAGGAAUUGACGGGGGCCCGCACAAGCGGUGGAGUAUGUGGUUUAAUUCGAAGCAACGCGAAGAACCUUACCAGGCCUUGACAUGGGAUGCGAAGAUGCAGAGAUGCAUCAGAGGUUAUCAUCCACACAGGUGGUGCAUGGUUGUCGUCAGCUCGUGUCGUGAGAUGUUGGGUCAAGUCCCGCAACGAGCGCAACCCUUGUGGCAUGUUGCUAACAGGAAAAGCUGAGGACUCAUGCCAGACUGCCGGUGACAAACCGGAGGAAGGCGGGGAUGACGUCAAAUCAUCAUGCCCCUUAUGGCCUGGGCUACACACGUACUACAAUGGCGGCUACAAAGAGCAGCGAGACAGGGAUGUCGAGCGAAUCUCAUAAAAGCCGUCCCAGUUCGGAUUGGAGGCUGCAACCCGCCUCCAUGAAGUUGGAAUCGCUAGUAAUCGCGGAUCAGCAUGCCGCGGUGAAUACGUUCCCGGGCCUUGCACACACCGCCCGUCA